RNAcentral lists this ribosomal RNA (440 nucleotides) under uncultured bacterium. RNAcentral's name for it is "partial 16S ribosomal RNA". It matches the Rfam family "Bacterial small subunit ribosomal RNA", at positions 338 to 795 of the family's 1533-position model. The record is from RNAcentral.
CCUACGGGAGGCAGCAGUGGGGAAUAUUGGACAAUGGGGGAAACCCUGAUCCAGCGACGCCGCGUGAGUGAAGAAGUAUUUCGGUACGUAAAGCUCUAUCAGCAGGAAAGAAAAUGACGGUACCUGACUAAGAAGCCCCGGCUAACUACGUGCCAGCAGCCGGGGGAAUACGUAGGGGGCAAGCGUUAUCCGGAUUUACGGGGGGUAAAGGGAGCGUAGACGGCGGCGCAAGUCUGGAGUGAAAUGCCGGGGGCCAACCCCGGAACUGCUCUGGAAACUGGGAAGCUGGAGUGCAGGAGAGGUAAGCGGAAUGCCUGGUGUAGCGGUGAAAUGCGUAGAUAUCGGGAGGAACACCGGCGGCGAAGGCGGCUUACUGGACUGUAACUGACGUUGAGGCUCGAAGGCGUGGGGAGCGAACAGGAUUAGAUACCCUGGUAGUC